GAUGAAGAACGCAGCGAAAUGCGAUAAGUAAUGUGAAUUGCAGAAUUCAGUGAAUCAUCGAAUCUUUGAACGCACAUUGCGCCCGUCAGUAUUCUGGCGGGCAUGCCUGUUCGAGCGUCAUUACGCCCCUCAAGUCCCCUGUGGACUUGGUGUUGGGGAUCGGCGAGGCUGGUUUUCCAGCACAGCCGUCCCUUAAAUUAAUUGGCGGUCUCGCCGUGGCCCUCCUCUGCGCAGUAGUAAAACACUCGCAACAGGAGCCCGGCGCGGUCCACUGCCGUAAAACCCCCCAACUUUUUAUAGUUGACCUCGAAUCAGGUAGGACUACCCGCUGAACUUAAGCAUAUCAAUAAUCGGAGGA
Molecule: unclassified non-coding RNA, 358 nt
Filed under: soil metagenome
Description: partial contains 5.8S ribosomal RNA, internal transcribed spacer 2, and large subunit ribosomal RNA
Rfam family: 5.8S ribosomal RNA (bases 1-120)
Source: RNAcentral